Molecule: ribosomal RNA, 463 nt
Filed under: uncultured bacterium
Lineage: Bacteria
Description: bacterial SSU rRNA
Rfam family: Bacterial small subunit ribosomal RNA
Source: RNAcentral
ACUCCUACGGGAGGCAGCAGUGGGGAAUAUUGCACAAUGGGCGCAAGCCUGAUGCAGCCAUGCCGCGUGUAUGAAGAAGGCCUUCGGGUUGUAAAGUACUUUCAGCAGUGAGGAAGGUGGAUAUGUUAAUAGCAUAUUCAUUUGACGUUAGCUGCAGAAGAAGCACCGGCUAACUCCGUGCCAGCAGCCGCGGUAAUACGGAGGGUGCGAGCGUUAAUCGGAAUUACUGGCGUAAAGCGCAUGCAGGUGGUUUGUUAAGUCAGAUGUGAAAGCCCGGGGCUCAACCUCGGAAUUGCAUUUGAAACUGGCAAACUAGAGUACUGUANAGGGGGUAGAAUUUCAGGUGUAGCGGUGAAAUGCGUAGAGAUCUGAAGGAAUACCGGUGGCGAAGGCGGCCCCCUGGACAGAUACUGACACUCAGAUGCGAAAGCGUGGGGAGCAAACAGGAUUAGAUACCCUGGUA